UACGUAGGGUGCGAGCGUUAAUCGGAUUUACUGGGCGUAAAGCGUGCGCAGGCGGCCCGUUAAGACAGGUGUGAAAUCCCUGGGCUCAACCUAGGAAUUGCGCUUGUGACUGGCGGGCUAGAGUACGGUAGAGGGGGGUGGAAUUCCUGGUGUAGCAGUGAAAUGCGUAGAGAUCAGGAGGAACACCGAUGGCGAAGGCAGCCCCCUGGGCCUGUACUGGCGCUCAUGCACGAAAGCGUGGGGAGCAAACAGG
This 253-nucleotide ribosomal RNA is filed under the name uncultured microorganism. RNAcentral describes it as "partial 16S ribosomal RNA". It matches the Rfam family "Bacterial small subunit ribosomal RNA", at positions 524 to 776 of the family's 1533-position model. The record is from RNAcentral.